Molecule: ribosomal RNA, 1049 nt
Filed under: Campylobacter rectus
Lineage: Bacteria; Pseudomonadati; Campylobacterota; Epsilonproteobacteria; Campylobacterales; Campylobacteraceae
Description: bacterial SSU rRNA
Rfam family: Bacterial small subunit ribosomal RNA
Source: RNAcentral
AGUGAACGCUGGCGGCGUGCCUAAUACAUGCAAGUCGAACGGAGAUUAAGUAGCUUGCUAUUUAAUCUUAGUGGCGCACGGGUGAGUAAUAUAUAGCUAAUCUGCCCUACACUAGAGGACAACAGUUGGAAACGACUGCUAAUACUCUAUACUCCUUCUAAGCAUAAGCUUAGUCGGGAAAGUUUUUCGGUGUAGGAUGAGGCUAUAUCGUAUCAGCUAGUUGGUGAGGUAAUGGCUCACCAAGGCUAUGACGCGUAACUGGUCUGAGAGGAUGAUCAGUCACACUGGAACUGAGACACGGUCCAGACUCCUACGGGAGGCAGCAGUAGGGAAUAUUGCUCAAUGGGGGAAACCCUGAAGCAGCAACGCCGCGUGGAGGAUGACACUUUUCGGAGCGUAAACUCCUUUUCUUGGGAAAGAAUUAUGACGGUACCCAAGGAAUAAGCACCGGCUAACUCCGUGCCAGCAGCCGCGGUAAUACGGAGGGUGCAAGCGUUACUCGGAAUCACUGGGCGUAAAGGACGCGUAGGCGGAUUAUCAAGUCUCUUGUGAAAUCUAACGGCUUAACCGUUAAACUGCUUGGGAAACUGAUAAUCUAGAGUAAGGGAGAGGCAGAUGGAAUUCUUGGUGUAGGGGUAAAAUCCGUAGAGAUCAAGAAGAAUACCCAUUGCGAAAGCGAUCUGCUGGAACUUAACUGACGCUAAUGCGUGAAAGCGUGGGGAGCAAACAGGAUUAGAUACCCUGGUAGUCCACGCCCUAAACGAUGUAUACUAGUUGUUGCUUCGCUAGUCGAGGCAGUAAUGCACCUAACGGAUUAAGUAUACCGCCUGGGGAGUACGGUCGCAAGAUUAAAACUCAAAGGAAUAGACGGGGACCCGCACAAGCGGUGGAGCAUGUGGUUUAAUUCGAAGAUACGCGAAGAACCUUACCCGGACUUGAUAUCUAACAAAUCAUCCAGAGAUGGAAGAGUGUCUGCUGCAGAAAUGUUAAGACAGGUGCUGCACGGCUGUCGUCAGCUCGUGUCGUGAGAUGUUGGGGUGAGGUCCGCA